Molecule: unclassified non-coding RNA, 21 nt
Filed under: Chlamydomonas reinhardtii
Lineage: Eukaryota; Viridiplantae; Chlorophyta; Chlorophyceae; Chlamydomonadales; Chlamydomonadaceae
Description: small RNA Cre_3771
Source: RNAcentral
UUAUUGCCGUACCAACUGGUA